GUGGGGAAUAUUGGACAAUGGGCGAAAGCCUGAUCCAGCCAUGCCGCGUGUGUGAAGAAGGUCUUCGGAUUGUAAAGCACUUUAAGUUGGGAGGAAGGACAGUAAGUUAAUACCUUGCUGUUUUGACGUUACCGACAGAAUAAGCACCGGCUAACUUCGUGCCAGCAGCCGCGGUAAUACGAAGGGUGCAAGCGUUAAUCGGAAUUACUGGGCGUAAAGCGCGCGUAGGUGGUUUUGUAAGUUGGAGGUGAAAUCCCCGGGCUCAACCUGGGAACUGCCUCCAAAACUGCAUGACUAGAGUACGGUAGAGGGUAGUGGAAUUUCCUGUGUAGCGGUGAAAUGCGUAGAUAUAGGAAGGAACACCAGUGGCGAAGGCGACUACCUGGACUGAUACUGACACUGAGGUGCGAAAGCGUGGGGAGCAAACAGGAUUAGAAACCCUGGUAGUCC
RNAcentral lists this ribosomal RNA (450 nucleotides) under uncultured bacterium. RNAcentral's name for it is "partial 16S ribosomal RNA". It matches the Rfam family "Bacterial small subunit ribosomal RNA", at positions 354 to 796 of the family's 1533-position model. The record is from RNAcentral.